CCUACGGGAGGCAGCAGUGGGGAAUCUUAGACAAUGGGGGAAACCCUGAUCUAGCCAUGCCGCGUGAUCGAUGAAGGCCUUAGGGUUGUAAAGAUCUUUCAGAUGGGAAGAUAAUGACGGUACCAUCAGAAGAAGCCCCGGCUAACUCCGUGCCAGCAGCCGCGGUAAUACGGAGGGGGCUAGCGUUAUUCGGAAUUACUGGGCGUAAAGCGCACGUAGGCGGAUCAGAAAGUCAGAGGUGAAAUCCCAGGGCUCAACCUUGGAACUGCCUUUGAAACUCCUGGUCUUGAGGUCGAGAGAGGUGAGUGGAAUUCCGAGUGUAGAGGUGAAAUUCGUAGAUAUUCGGAGGAACACCAGUGGCGAAGGCGGCUCACUGGCUCGAUACUGACGCUGAGGUGCGAAAGCGUGGGAGCAAACAGAUUAGAUACCCUGGUAGUCCACGCGUAAACGAUGAAUGCCAGUCGUCGGGUAGCAUGCUAUUCGGUGACACACCUAACGGAUUAAGCAUUCGCCUGGGAGUACGGCCGCAAGUUAAAACUCAAAGAAUGACGGCUGAGACGNGCGAGACGACACGAGGAGAG
This 581-nucleotide ribosomal RNA is filed under the name uncultured bacterium. RNAcentral's name for it is "bacterial SSU rRNA". It matches the Rfam family "Bacterial small subunit ribosomal RNA", at positions 338 to 948 of the family's 1533-position model. The record is from RNAcentral.